Molecule: non-coding RNA, 94 nt
Organism: Mycena latifolia
Lineage: Eukaryota; Fungi; Basidiomycota; Agaricomycetes; Agaricales; Mycenaceae
Source: the annotation of a GenBank genome assembly
GGCCGGGUAGCACAACGGUUAGUGCGUCUGCUAAACCUCACGAAGCGAGAGUAGCUUUCUGCAGAAGAUCCCUGUUCGACUCGGGGUCAAGCCG